GCCCCUAUCGUCUAGCUGGCCUAGGACACCUCCCUUUCACGGAGGCAACGGGGAUUCGACUUCCCCUGGGGGUA
Molecule: transfer RNA, 74 nt
Filed under: Chara vulgaris
Lineage: Eukaryota; Viridiplantae; Streptophyta; Charophyceae; Charales; Characeae
Also listed under: 1 other name
Description: tRNA-Glu
Rfam family: tRNA
About the family: Transfer RNA (tRNA) molecules are approximately 80 nucleotides in length. Their secondary structure includes four short double-helical elements and three loops (D, anti-codon, and T loops).
Source: RNAcentral